Molecule: ribosomal RNA, 239 nt
Filed under: uncultured bacterium
Lineage: Bacteria
Description: partial 16S ribosomal RNA
Rfam family: Bacterial small subunit ribosomal RNA
Source: RNAcentral
UGGGUAACCUGCCUCAAAGAGGGGAAUAGCCUCCCGAAAGGGAGACUAAUACCGCAUAAUAUGUUUAAGUCGCAUGACUUUAACAUCAAAGGAUUUUCUUUUAAGAAAUUCCACUUUGAGAUGGACCCGCGGCGCAUUAGCUAGUUGGUGAGGUAACGGCUCACCAAGGCAACGAUGCGUAGCCGACCUGAGAGGGUGAUCGGCCACAUUGGAACUGAGACACGGCCAGCUCCUAGGAG